RNAcentral lists this non-coding RNA (26 nucleotides) under Mus musculus (house mouse). The record is from RNAcentral. Lineage: Eukaryota; Metazoa; Chordata; Mammalia; Rodentia; Muridae.
UGGAAACUGGUUCUUAUGCUGUGUGC